ACGCUCGACACCUAGGGAGCAGCAGUGAGGAAUAUUGGUCAAUGGGCGCAGGCCUGAACCAGCCAAGUAGCGUGAAGGAUGACUGCCCUAUGGGUUGUAAACUUCUUUUAUAUGGGAAUAAAGUUUUCCACGUGUGGAAUUUUGUAUGUACCAUAUGAAUAAGGAUCGGCUAACUCCGUGCCAGUAGCCGCGGUAAUCUGAGCGGGCUGGCAAGGC
Molecule: ribosomal RNA, 216 nt
Filed under: uncultured bacterium
Lineage: Bacteria
Description: partial 16S ribosomal RNA
Rfam family: Bacterial small subunit ribosomal RNA
Source: RNAcentral